AUGGUCAUCGACCUCCGGUGCUGGCGCUCGGGGAACUACUGCCACCGUGUCGAGCAGUGGAUGGAGUUGCAGAAGGAGAAGCGAAUCUACGAGCUGCGGUCCUUGCCCCCUUUCUUGCCCCUCUUCGCCGGCGAGGUGGAGGUUGUCGACCAUCGGUGGAACCAGCACGGCUUGGGCGGCGACAACAUUCUUGGUAGCUGCCGCCCACUCCACAAGGGCCCUGUCAGCCUGAUGCACUGGUCAGGCAAGGGCAAGCCAUGGGAUCGCCUCGACGCCGGCAGGCCUUGCCCGCUACGUGUUCGAAGAAAUGACGAGGACGGACAGCUGGUGAAAUAG
Molecule: ribosomal RNA, 336 nt
Filed under: Triticum aestivum (bread wheat)
Lineage: Eukaryota; Viridiplantae; Streptophyta; Magnoliopsida; Poales; Poaceae
Description: partial small subunit ribosomal RNA
Source: RNAcentral